UAUCACAUUCAUUUGGUGGGCU
Molecule: microRNA, 22 nt
Filed under: Melibe leonina
Lineage: Eukaryota; Metazoa; Mollusca; Gastropoda; Nudibranchia; Dendronotidae
Description: mle-miR-2e-3p
Gene: mle-miR-2e-3p
Source: miRBase by way of RNAcentral